GAUGAAGAACGCAGUGAAAUGCGAUACGUAAUGUGAAUUGCAGAAUUCAGUGAAUCAUCGAGUCUUUGAACGCACAUUGCGCCCCCUGGUAUUCCGGGGGGCAUGCCUGUCCGAGCGUCAUUGCUGCCCUCAAGCACGGCUUGUGUGUUGGGCCUCCGUCCUCCUCCCGGGGGACGGGCCCGAAAGGCAGCGGCGGCACCGCGUCCGGUCCUCGAGCGUAUGGGGCUUCGUCACCCGCUCUUGUAGGCCCGGCCGGCGCUUGCCGACACAUCAAUCUUUUUUCCAGGUUGACCUCGGAUCAGGUAGGGAUACCCGCUGAACUUAAGCAUAUCAAUAAGCGGA
Molecule: unclassified non-coding RNA, 342 nt
Filed under: soil metagenome
Description: partial contains 5.8S ribosomal RNA, internal transcribed spacer 2, and large subunit ribosomal RNA
Rfam family: 5.8S ribosomal RNA (bases 1-120)
Source: RNAcentral